AGCCGUAUGUGAAUCGCCAUUCUGCUCACCGCAAGUUGGUGGGGAACAAAUCCACCGUGCAGGCAUUAACGACACUUAUGCAGAAUCCGCACGUUAACAGUAUCACGUAGAACCAGAUGGCCAGCAGAGCCUUUCCGGAUAGAUAGAGGCCGUAUUCUGGAAGAAGCAUGCUACAGAAAAACAAGGCAAUAUUGUACAGUUGCGUGGUGCCUUAUUCCCAAUCAUACUGGUAUACACCGAGGUAACAAUCAUUCGGAGUGGUCCGGCGGCCGGGGCCAGGCUUCCCAUGGCAGAACCGGAUAUCGAAUUCCAUCAAAUAGGAUUCAACCGCCUCCUCGUACGUACGGACUGUCUAUUGGGCUAAGAUUAAAUAAAUUUAUGGGAAGUCAGUAAAGGCAGGCCAUAACCUCUUGAGGUUGUAAAGCCAAUUAAGAAAUAAUCAUUUCGUGUUUAAUUUCAGCCUUGAAACAUGGUUAUUUUCGAGCAAUACAAUAUAAUGUGGUGUAAAGAGCAUUGUGUAAAAUAACAUCGCGAAUAAUUUCGCAAUUGAAUAUUACUAAACAAUUUUAGUAGACCAAGGCGAUUGUAGAACAUAAGUAGUUCAUCAAAGAAAUAUAAACCGUUGUAACCGUU
Molecule: long non-coding RNA, 633 nt
Organism: Anopheles stephensi (Asian malaria mosquito)
Lineage: Eukaryota; Metazoa; Arthropoda; Insecta; Diptera; Culicidae
Exons: 3
Source: RefSeq, a predicted model, not a curated record